GCCCUCGUAGCUUAGCAGGUUCUCUGAAUAUAAGAGCUGUAAAGAGCGCAUGGCUGUUAACCAUGAGGUCACCAGUUCGAGUCUGGUCGAGGGCG
RNAcentral lists this transfer RNA (95 nucleotides) under Candidatus Woesearchaeota archaeon. RNAcentral's name for it is "tRNA-Asn". It matches the Rfam family "tRNA". From Rfam's summary of the family: Transfer RNA (tRNA) molecules are approximately 80 nucleotides in length. Their secondary structure includes four short double-helical elements and three loops (D, anti-codon, and T loops). The record is from RNAcentral. Lineage: Archaea; Nanobdellati; Candidatus Woesearchaeota.